Molecule: ribosomal RNA, 823 nt
Filed under: uncultured bacterium
Lineage: Bacteria
Description: bacterial SSU rRNA
Rfam family: Bacterial small subunit ribosomal RNA
Source: RNAcentral
CAUGCAAGUCGAACGAGCGAGAGAGAGCUUGCUUUCUCGAGCGAGUGGCGAACGGGUGAGUAACGCGUGAGGAAUCUGCCUCAAAGAGGGGGACAACAGUUGGAAACGACUGCUAAUACCGCAUAAGCCCACGGUGCCGCAUGGCACAGAGGGAAAAGGAGUAAUCCGCUUUGAGAUGGCCUCGCGUCCGAUUAGCUAGUUGGUGAGGUAACGGCCCACCAAGGCGACGAUCGGUAGCCGGACUGAGAGGUUGAACGGCCACAUUGGGACUGAGACACGGCCCAGACUCCUACGGGAGGCAGCAGUGGGGAAUAUUGCACAAUGGGGGAAACCCUGAUGCAGCGACGCCGCGUGGAGGAAGAAGGUCUUCGGAUUGUAAACUCCUGUUGUUGGGGAAGAUAAUGACGGUACCCAACAAGGAAGUGACGGCUAACUACGUGCCAGCAGCCGCGGUAAAACGUAGGUCACAAGCGUUGUCCGGAAUUACUGGGUGUAAAGGGAGCGCAGGCGGGAAGACAAGUUGGAAGUGAAAUCUAUGGGCUCAACCCAUAAACUGCUUUCAAAACUGUUUUUCUUGAGUAGUGCAGAGGUAGGCGGAAUUCCCGGUGUAGCGGUGGAAUGCGUAGAUAUCGGGAGGAACACCAGUGGCGAAGGCGGCCUACUGGGCACCAACUGACGCUGAGGCUCGAAAGUGUGGGUAGCAAACAGGAUUAGAUACCCUGGUAGUCCACACCGUAAACGAUGAUUACUAGGUGUUGGAGGAUUGACCCCUUCAGUGCCGCAGUUAACACAAUAAGUAAUCCACCUGGGGAGUACGACCGCA